AGAGUUUGAUCCUGGCUCAGGAUGAACGCUAGCUACAGGCUUAACACAUGCAAGUCGAGGGGCAGCAUUUUUAGUUUGCUUUGCAAACUAAAGAUGGCGACCGGCGCACGGGUGAGUAACACGUAUCCAACCUGCCGAUAACUCGGGGAUAGCCUUUCGAAAGAAAGAUUAAUAUCCGAUAGUAUAUUAAAACCGCAUGGUUUUACUAUUAAAGAAUUUCGGUUAUCGAUGGGGAUGCGUUCCAUUAGUUUGUUGGCGGGGUAACGGCCCAGUCAAGACUACGAUGGAUAGGGGUUCUGAGUAGGAAGGUCCCCCGACAUUGGAACUUGACGACACGGUCCAAAACUCCGUACGGGAGCA
Molecule: ribosomal RNA, 360 nt
Filed under: uncultured bacterium
Lineage: Bacteria
Description: bacterial SSU rRNA
Rfam family: Bacterial small subunit ribosomal RNA
Source: RNAcentral